Molecule: ribosomal RNA, 599 nt
Filed under: Canthyporus petulans
Lineage: Eukaryota; Metazoa; Arthropoda; Insecta; Coleoptera; Dytiscidae
Description: SSU rRNA
Rfam family: Eukaryotic small subunit ribosomal RNA
Source: RNAcentral
UUGUCUCAAAGAUUAAGCCAUGCAUGUCUCAGUACAAGCCAAAUUAAGGUGAAACCGCGAAAGGCUCAUUAAAUCAGUUAUGGUUCCUUAGAUCGUACCCACACUUACUUGGAUAACUGUGGUAAUUCUAGAGCUAAUACAUGCAAACAGAGCUCCGACCGGAGACGGGAGGAGUGCUUUUAUUAGAUCAAAACCAAUCGGCGGCGGGCGCGUUCGCGCGUCCGUUCGCCGCUCAACCUGGUGACUCUGAAUAACUUUCCGCUGAUCGCACGGUCUCGCACCGGCGACGCAUCUUUCAAAUGUCUGCCUUAUCAACUGUCGAUGGUAGGUUCUGCGCCUACCAUGGUCGUAACGGGUAACGGGGAAUCAGGGUUCGAUUCCGGAGAGGGAGCCUGAGAAACGGCUACCACAUCCAAGGAAGGCAGCAGGCGCGCAAAUUACCCACUCCCGGCACGGGGAGGUAGUGACGAAAAAUAACGAUACGGGACUCAUCCGAGGCCCCGUAAUCGGAAUGAGUACACUUUAAAUCCUUUAACGAGGAUCCAUUGGAGGGUAAGUCUGGUGCCAGCAGCCGCGGUAAUUCCAGCUCCAAUAGCGUA